CAGAGACUGCAAGCGUUAUUCGGAUUCACUGGGCGUAAAGGGUGCGCAGGCGGCCGUGUGUGUGAGGCGUGAAAGCCCCGGGGCUUAACCCCCGGAAUUGCACCUCAAACUACAUGGCUAGAGCAUUGGAGAGGGUAGCAGAAUUCAUGGUGUAGCAGUGAAAUGCGUAGAUAUCAUGAGGAAUACCAGAGGCGAAGGCGGCUACCCGGACAAUUGCUGACGCUCAGGCACGAAAGCGUGGGGAGCAAAAGGGAUUAGAUACCCCUGUAGUCCACGCCCUAAACGGUGCACACUAGGUCUUGGCGGAUUCGACCCCACCAGGGCCCAAGCUAACGCGUUAAGUGUGCCGCCUGAGGACUACGGCCGCAAGGCUA
RNAcentral lists this ribosomal RNA (374 nucleotides) under uncultured organism. RNAcentral's name for it is "bacterial SSU rRNA". It matches the Rfam family "Bacterial small subunit ribosomal RNA", at positions 526 to 896 of the family's 1533-position model. The record is from RNAcentral.